AGUUCGGAUUGCAGGCUGCAACCCGCCUGUAUGAAGUUGGAAUCGCUAGUAAUCGCGGAUCAGCAUGCCGCGGUGAAUACGUUCCCGGGCCUUGUACACACCGCCCGUCACACCAUGAGAGUCGGGAACACCCGAAGUCCGUAGCCUAACCGCAAGGGGGCGCGGCCGAAGGUGGGUUCGAUAAUUGGGGUGAAGUCGUAACAAGGUACC
Molecule: ribosomal RNA, 210 nt
Filed under: uncultured bacterium
Lineage: Bacteria
Description: partial 16S ribosomal RNA
Rfam family: Bacterial small subunit ribosomal RNA
Source: RNAcentral